UCUUUUUCACAUUCAUGAUUAAAUUGGUGGAUUUUAUAUAAUCAUUAUCUUCCAGCAAAUUAAGUGAAAGACUUGGCUACAGAUUGAUUAGAGGAUGACAAAAUUGUCUGAUAGUCUUUCUUUGCAACAUUUGCUGUUGAUCAGUUUAGAAGCUGAUUUCAGUACAUGUGAAUUACAACACAGAGAAAUGGCUAUGUACUAUAUUAGAAUCUAAAUGACAAAGCAAGAAUAUUAGGAAUAGGAUUUACUUUUGAGUUCCUAGAAGUGUUAUUAGAGCUCUUGACCCGUGUCCUCCAGAUCUGAUCUAGCCAAUGAGAAUUUAGGAAACUCCUUUUUUUUUCCCUAGAGUAACGACAAGAUAUAACAGGAUCAGUGCCAACUGGGAGAUAGGAACAGGAGCAGGGAGGAGGGCAAGGGACAAGGAGUUAUGCCUAAAUGAAGUCACUAAUUUGAUGGUGAAAAUAGCUAGGUCAGUCUAAAAACUGCUUCAUUUUGUCAUGCUAACUAUUAAUUUUUGUUGACCCAAAGAAUCCAGGAAAGUGAAUUGAUCUCUUAGAGUAGGCAUAUAUGUGUAUAUGUCCGAAUAUUCCCUUUGCUCUUCGUCUUCGAGGGCACUCACAUAUGAAACCAUAAAACUGCUGCUGGGAGUUAAAACUGUAUGUCUCAUUAAGGAUAAGAUUCACCUUUCCCUUCAGAGUAAGGGACUCAUGUCUUUAGGAGAUUACUCCUUGGACGUUUACGUUUCAAAGGGGGAGAAUUCUCCCCCUUAGUCUAAUAUAGAAUGUCAGCAUAGCAGUGCAUUCAAGCUAAGACAGAAGUAAGCAACCAGUAGGAGCCCUGGGAAUGAAUGUCACUAACACAGAGCUGAAUGAUGUGUUUAUGUUGGUUAUUGCUGGUGUGCAAUUCUUAGAGGAAUGGAGAAAUCAUAAAAUUUGUGCAAUCUAAUUAGAACUCUGCCAUCAUAUGCUCCUUGCUGAUUUAGCUGCUGCUGCUGCUGCUGCCACUGCUUCUUCUCAUCUAUACGGAAAAGAGGUGUCAUUUCACUACUAGAAUCCACAUACUUCACAGGUUUCAAGGCAGUGUGAGAAACAGUGGAGAAAGAAAGGGUUAGAUUCGAUAGAUAAGGAUGAAGCAACAUACAGUAUUUUAAGGUGUGAAUCAUCUUGUGACACAAGACUAUUUUUACUCAAGGGACUAAGCAGAAUCUUUGGAUGGGAGAAGCUCUGUUCAGGAAUUACCAUUUCCUUUUUGUAUGUCUAUAGUAUCACUAUUAGAGAUCAGUCUAGUCUAGCAAGGGGAUAAAUUCUUCUGUCAUUGCUAAAACAAGCUGAAAAUUACAUGCUGAAACAUUUUUUUCCUUAUUUCGUUUAAGAAAAAUUGUAGUUGUUUUAUAAGCUUCGCAAGAGAGAUUCAAAAAGUCUCUCAACUGUCAAAAUUUUGCUGCAACCCUGUCAGAUUCAGAAAGAAAUUCAAGGUAGGAGAGCCUAAUAGAACUUCAGACCAAAUAUAAACUUAUUCAAAGUAAGGUAUCCAGGGAUCUCCUUCCAGUCUCUUCCCCCAUUCCCCCAUGUAAGUUUUUCUUUUCUUUUUUUUUAACUGCAGAUCUAGACAUGUAAAAUGUUUGGUUUUCUCACUUUCCCUCCAGCCUAUCUCAUCCCAUUCACCUUUGCAUCAACAAAAGCCCAGAUCAGGAAGGCUUUUGCAGUCCCUGUUUGCAGAUUUCUCAGGGAGAGUUUUUAUGUGUGAUUUGGGUAGACAUCUUCCCAUUUUAUAAAUCAGGUCAUGCCAGUGCAUAUCCAGAAAGCUUCUACAACCACCUGCAAUGUGAGUCUGUUAUGUUCUGUUGUUAUGUUAGCUAUUUUCUGCCUAUUACUGAACAGCUGGGAUUUUAGAAACAGCUGGAUGAUUAGUUGUGUUUUUUCCGUUUUUCACCCAGAUGCUUUAUUACUGUGUAGAAACAACCCCAAUGUGGAACAACCUGGGAGUAUAAUAGCGAAAAUCUGCUCUGAUGCAACUGUUGUUAUUAGGAAUUGAAUCAAGAAAAUUACAGGCAAACAGUUUUGACUAUUGUCUGCUUUACAAACAUGUUUGAUACAGCAUUCUCAUUUCCAUUUCUAGGCAAAAUGAUUUGAUUUAGCAACUUUAAAAUGCCUCUUCCAUUAUUCCUUAGGCUAUCGAAGCUGUGCUUUGGCUGUUAUGUUUAUUUGCUUAAGGGAAAAUGUCUAUACACAAUGAGGCAUCACCUGAGUUUUCCAUUCACUGCUGGCAAGAGGAGCUGACAGAGGCAGGCAAGUGACAGUCUUCACACUCGCCACAGUCUAUUUUUAGGUUGUUGACUUUGUGGCUGACUUCAGCCCUGAUGGGAUGGAUUGACAUUCGAAGACAAUGAAAUGUUUUAUUAUGAAGAUUUGCAGAUCUAUAAAACUGGAUGGUAUUGUGAAAGUGAUAAAUUUAAUUCAGGUGCUGUUAGUUGGUUCCUUACCCAGGGCUAAAAUUAGAAUAAAAAAGAUGGGUAGACGCUUUUUCCUUUUCUAAUUAUUCUUUCAACAGAUGUUUGUUAAGCUUAUCCUAGCUGGCUAGGCUGUGUCAUGUACC
RNAcentral lists this long non-coding RNA (2595 nucleotides) under Homo sapiens (human). RNAcentral's name for it is "HSALNT0173554". Lineage: Eukaryota; Metazoa; Chordata; Mammalia; Primates; Hominidae. The record is from RNAcentral.